Molecule: ribosomal RNA, 709 nt
Filed under: Bacillus sp. (in: firmicutes)
Lineage: Bacteria; Bacillati; Bacillota; Bacilli; Caryophanales; Bacillaceae
Description: bacterial SSU rRNA
Rfam family: Bacterial small subunit ribosomal RNA
Source: RNAcentral
GGAAUUCCAAGUGUAGCGGUGAAAUGCGUAGAGAUUUGGAGGAACACCAGUGGCGAAGGCGACUUUCUGGUCUGUAACUGACACUGAGGCGCGAAAGCGUGGGGAGCGAACAGGAUUAGAUACCCUGGUAGUCCACGCCGUAAACGAUGAGUGCUAAGUGUUAGAGGGUUUCCGCCCUUUAGUGCUGCAGCAAACGCAUUAAGCACUCCGCCUGGGGAGUACGACCGCAAGGUUGAAACUCAAAGGAAUUGACGGGGGCCCGCACAAGCGGUGGAGCAUGUGGUUUAAUUCGAAGCAACGCGAAGAACCUUACCAGGUCUUGACAUCCUCUGACAAUCCUAGAGAUAGGACGUUCCCCUUCGGGGGACAGAGUGACAGGUGGUGCAUGGUUGUCGUCAGCUCGUGUCGUGAGAUGUUGGGUUAAGUCCCGCAACGAGCGCAACCCUUGAUCUUAGUUGCCAGCAUUCAGUUGGGCACUCUAAGGUGACUGCCGGUGACAAACCGGAGGAAGGUGGGGAUGACGUCAAAUCAUCAUGCCCCUUAUGACCUGGGCUACACACGUGCUACAAUGGAUGGUACAAAGGGCUGCAAGACCGCGAGGUUUAGCCAAUCCCAUAAAACCAUUCUCAGUUCGGAUUGCAGGCUGCAACUCGCCUGCAUGAAGCCGGAAUCGCUAGUAAUCGCGGAUCAGCAUGCCGCGGUGAAUACG